GUCACCACACCAACUGCCCCUGCCCCAAAUCCCGGGCCCCCGGCGACAAAAAGGCGGGGUCUUCCUCUGGCUCUGGUCCCCGGCAACUCAAGCAACGAACAAGUGCUGCUUAGCUUUCCGCUACCACUAGCACUCAAGUGCUAGAAACUAAUCGGCGCGAGGAAAAGUCGUCCUCAAUCCUCAGCCCACUACUCCACUCUCACUUCCAGGGAAAACUAUCCAUCUCUUCUCUCUCGCUGUUUCAUUUCUUUCGAAAGCGAUUGUUACUCCUCUUAACUGCCGUUUCCGCUAUCAGUCUCACUCUCACGAGCUUCUUGCUUGUCCUUAGUUGAUCUCCUUGAAAUUCUGCAAGAAUCCGUGAGGUGUUUCAGGCAUCAGAUUUGCCUAUUUUUACUAUAUGCGGAUCUAUGUUUAUGUUGCUGAUGAGCAGAUUCUGAUAUUUAGUUUUGUGAACUGAAUCGCCUUGAAGCUAAAGCGGAAGACUUUUAAAGCAGAUGGGAGUAACUGCCGAGAUAUUUGAAAGUAAAAGGAUUAUUUCUGUGCGCAAGAUUUAUUUCAAAUCAUCUCUCUCUUCUGGGAUUUCUGAAGGAAAUGCGAGAAUCUGCCCAGCUGUCUCAGGUUUUGAAUGAUUUGAAGGAGGUUUGACUCAAGGUGAAUUAGAUGAAGCGAAGGUCUAACUCCCAGAAAUUUCCGUUGCAUCAUAGAUGGAAGAGAAAGUUAAUUAUUUUGCUUCUGGUUGGAUUGUGUUUGGGGACUGUGGCAUUAAUGGAGACUCAGUAUUCUCGAAUCAAGAAGCUGGCUAUAUCGUCACCGCCUUUUGUACAAAAGCCCAAAAUUGCGUUUCUAUUUAUAGCAAGAAAUCGCCUUCCUUUGGACAUUGUGUGGGAUGCCUUCUUUCAGGGUGAUAAGGAGAAUAAAUUUUCAAUCUAUGUGCACUCAAGGCCUGGUUUCCUGUUGAACAAGGCAACAACAAGAUCAGCAUACUUCUUGGGUCGCCAAGUGAACAAUAGCAUACAGGUGGAAUGGGGAGAGGCAAGUAUGAUUCAUGCAGAACGUGUUUUGCUUCAGAAUGCAUUAGAGGACCUACAUAAUGAGCGCUUUGUUUUUCUCUCAGACAGUUGCAUUCCUUUAUACAACUUCAGCUACACAUAUGAUUACAUAAUGUCUACCUCUACUAGCUUUGUGGAUAGUUUUGCUGAUACAAAAGAGGGGCGGUACAAUCCUAAAAUGCAUCCUGUAAUUCCUGUUGAAAACUGGAGAAAAGGAUCUCAGUGGGUUGUUCUGACAAGAAGGCAUGCAGAAGUCGUCGUGAAAGAUGACGUUGUUUUCCCUGUGUUCCAGUGGCAUUGCAAGAGGAAGUCAUUGCCCGAGUUUUGGCGAGAUCAUCCCCUUCCUGCAGAAGGAUGGAAGGAGCAUAACUGUAUACCUGAUGAGCAUUAUGUUCAGACUUUGCUUGCUCAAGAAGGCCUGGAAGGAGAAAUUACAAGAAGGUCAGUCACUCAUACCGAAUGGGAUCUUUCAUCUUCGAGAGACCGUGAACGGCGAGGUUGGCAUCCUGUGACUUACAAGUUAGCUGAUGCUACUCCACGCUAAUCCAAUCAAUUAAGGAUAUUGAUAAUAUCUAUUAUGAGACGGAGUACCGUAGAGAGUGGUGCACUAGCAAAGGGAAACCUGCUCCAUGCUUCCUUUUUGCAAGGAAGUUUACCCGGCCUGCUGCUCUACGGCUGCUUAACAUGACUGCACUCGGAGUCCAGGGUGGAGCCUCGAGUAACUCCAAGAAGAAAAUAUCAUCGAUCAGUUUUGAGUUCAAUACCAAGAAGAAAAAGUAGGCUUAGAACGAUGAAUAAUUUGUUACUCGUGAUAAGAAUAAAAUAAAAAUUGUGAGAGCUGUAAAUUAAGAGAUGGCAGUAGAAAAAGUUGAAUGUGCAAUGUGCUGAUGUAUAGUAGUACCAUGCAGCAAUUUCCACGCUUUCCGUAAUGAUAUUCAAUCUGUUUAUCGCCCUUCGGUUGCCGUGCCUUUCCAAUUUCCAUCCCGGCGGUCUGUUACUCCGUUAGUUACUGGUGGAACAAUGCAGAAGGACGACGGAGGGUAAAUGUGCCCCAUACAUGUAUCAUACAGAACAAAUCACCGGAACAAAUAAUGGGCCCGUGUGCCUUGCUGGUGAGCACAUCAACUGUUGUUGUACUUGUAUGUAUUCCGUUGGAAAGUUCUUCAUGCUAAGGCCGAGUCCAUCAGGUUACCUUGUAUUGCCGCCGUUAGUUGUUGCAAUCAGUUAAUGGGUAAAUUCCUGACAAAACCUGAAUCAGUAGGCUCCUGGUAUGGUUCUCAUACAACUUGCUCUGAUGGCUUACAUCGAGUGCAGGCGAUGCUAUCUGUCAGUUUUUCCUCAUAUUUAUAUUACAUUGGUCGUGUUUUUUCUGUAACGAAUGUGGAAUAAAUGAACAAUCUUUUCGUCACA
Coffea arabica (coffee) is the source of this 2459-nucleotide non-coding RNA. Lineage: Eukaryota; Viridiplantae; Streptophyta; Magnoliopsida; Gentianales; Rubiaceae. The record is from RefSeq and is a predicted model, not a curated record.